Molecule: ribosomal RNA, 747 nt
Filed under: uncultured Gammaproteobacteria bacterium
Lineage: Bacteria; Pseudomonadati; Pseudomonadota; Gammaproteobacteria
Description: bacterial SSU rRNA
Rfam family: Bacterial small subunit ribosomal RNA
Source: RNAcentral
UGCAGUCGAACGGCAGCAGACCGCGACAAUCCCUUCGGGGUGCGUUUGGUGCUGGCGAGUGGCGGACGGGUGAGUAACACGUAGGAAUCUGCCCAACAGUGGGGGACAACCCGGGGAAACUCGGGCUAAUACCGCAUACGCCCUACGGGGGAAAGCGGGGGACUUUCGGGCCUCGCGCUGAUGGAUGAGCCUGCGUCGGAUUAGCUUGUUGGUGAGGUAACGGCUCACCAAGGCGACGAUCCGUAGCUGGUCUGAGAGGAUGAUCAGCCGCACUGGGACUGAGACACGGCCCAGACUCCUAUGGGAGGCAGCAGUGGGGAAUAUUGCACAAUGGGCGAAAGCCUGAUGCAGCCAUACCGCGUGGGUGAAGAAGGCCUUAGGGUUGUAAAGCCCUUUCAGUUGGGAAGAAAAGUUCGGGGAUAAUACCCCCGAAUCUUGACGGUACCUACAGAAGAGGCACCGGCUAACUCAGUGCCAGCAGCCGCGGUAAUACUGAGGGUGCAAGCGUUAAUCGGAAUUACUGGGCGUAAAGCGCGCGUAGGCGGCUUGGUCAGUCAGAUGUGAAAGCCCCGGGCUUAACCUGGGAACUGCAUUUGAAACUGCUAGGCUAGAGUGUGGUAGAGGGAAGUGGAAUUCCGCGUGGAGCGGUGAAAUGCGUAGAGAUGCGGAGGAACACCAGUGGCGAAGGCGACUUCCUGGACCAACACUGACGCUCAGGUGCGAAAGCGUGGGGAGCAAACAGGAUUA